RNAcentral lists this ribosomal RNA (302 nucleotides) under uncultured Halomonas sp. Its description in RNAcentral is "bacterial SSU rRNA". It matches the Rfam family "Bacterial small subunit ribosomal RNA", at positions 30 to 334 of the family's 1533-position model. Lineage: Bacteria; Pseudomonadati; Pseudomonadota; Gammaproteobacteria; Oceanospirillales; Halomonadaceae. The record is from RNAcentral.
AUUGAACGCUGGCGGCAGGCCUAACACAUGCAAGUCGAGCGGUAACAGGGGUAGCUUGCUACCCGCUGACGAGCGGCGGACGGGUGAGUAAUGCAUAGGAAUCUGCCCGAUAGUGGGGGAUAACCUGGGGAAACCCAGGCUAAUACCGCAUACGUCCUACGGGAGAAAGGGGGCUCCGGCUCCCGCUAUUGGAUGAGCCUAUGUCGGAUUAGCUAGUUGGUGAGGUAAUGGCUCACCAAGGCAACGAUCCGUAGCUGGUCUGAGAGGAUGAUCAGCCACAUCGGGACUGAGACACGGCCCGA